Canis lupus familiaris (dog) is the source of this 2064-nucleotide long non-coding RNA. RefSeq lists it as uncharacterized. Lineage: Eukaryota; Metazoa; Chordata; Mammalia; Carnivora; Canidae. The transcript is spliced from 4 exons. The record is from RefSeq and is a predicted model, not a curated record.
CCUAGGAAGUAGCUUAGCUGCCCAGUUCCAAGCCUAGGACCACAAAGUGAUUCACCCAUCAACCUAUCAUUUGGACUUCCAAAGCAGGAAGAGUUCUGAAGAGGAAGAAGUAAAAAGAGAAUGGAGCAGAAGAAAUAUCUGAAGACAUAAUGUCCAAGAAUUUUUACAGAUCCAAGAAGUUUAGAGAACCCCAUGCAGGACCAAUGCAAAGGAAAACACCUGCCACAUCAUAGUCACAUUACUGAAAACUCAAAGAGAGAAAUCAUGAAUACAGACGGGGAAAAAAUGACUUAUAUAAGAUGGCUUUAAAUACCAGCAAUAUCCUAAAGCCUUCAGAUUGUAUUUCCCUGACUCUGAGCUCUCUGGACUCAUACAUCUACCUGCCCACUCAACAUCCCCACUCACAUUUUACAAACCUUGACUCUUCUGGUGGCAGAUUGUAUUUUCUGAAGAUGAGAAUCACAGUACCUUCCAUCCCAUCUUCUGCAAUGUGAUGCUGACACUUCCCACCAAGCCUAUAUCCCCUCUCCUUGAAACCGGACUGAUCUUUGUGACUCGCUCAUAGAGAACAGUAGAAAUGAGGUGGUGAGACUUCCUAUGCUAGGGCAUAAAAUUGUCAUGCACUUCCACCUUGUUUUUGGAAGGCUCACUCUUGGAGCCCGGCCACCAUGCUGUGAGAGAGCCACCAGCCACAUGGAGAGGUGAGGUGUGCUGGCCAACAGUCCCAGCAGAGGACCCAGCCAACAGGCAGCAUCAACUGCUUCAUGGGAUUGAUGAAAUCUGAAAUAGUUCCAGCCAGCAUCUGGGUGCUCCAACUAAUACCACCUGCACCCACUAAGUCCCUACUGAGCUUUGUCCAUAUGGCAGAUUUGUGAGAAUUAACGAUGGUUGAUGUUUCAAGCCCCAAGUUUGGGAUGGUUUGUUACUAGGCAAUAGAUAGUUAGAAACACCCCCAAACCUACUCCUGCCAUCAUCCCUCUCUUAGAUAGUAGAACCACUAUCGACCCCAUUGCUCAGGCCAAAAACCCAGAUUCAUUUCUCUCACAUCCUACAUCUCAUUUAUCAGUAAACCCAGAUGACUUUGCUUUCAAAAUAUAUCCAGAACCCAUUCACUUCCCAUUGCUUCACUGUUCUCCAUCUAAGCCUCCAUCAUCUCCCACGGCUAUUCUAACACUCUCUAAAUAGCCCCCCUGUGGUCCCUCUAAGGCCUAGUCUCCAACAGCCUUUAACAGUCUCAGAGAGUCUCUUCUGACUAAUUCACUCAGAAUAAGAGCCAAUCUCUUCUCAGCGGUCUAUAAGACCCCAUAUGCUGCCCUCACCCUUUGCUGACUCAUUAAUGCAUGGUCCCCCAGCCCCUCCAGCUGUGUCCCCAAAUGCCCAGCACAGUUUCAUCUUAGGUCUUUGCCCUUACUUAUGGUCAGGUUUAAUCUGAUUGGUAGUGAAAUGAAAUAGAGAGGCCAGGCAAAAGUUGGUCAAAACAGGUUUUUAACGGACGCACUCUGGGCAAGGUUCCGCAGCCCCGCAAGGGAGUGAAGCCUGCAAGUCUGCUUCGUGAGGACAAGAACUUUGCUUUGUUCAUUGCUGCAUUCCCAGGAACUACAACAGAACUGGAACCUGGAUGAAUCAAUGAAUGAAGAAAUCGAAUGAAUGAAUGAUUUUGAAACCAGCACCAAAGGAAACUGUCAACACAGAGGCAAUGAAGCAGAAGAGCCCCGCCUUUGUUUCAGCUAACUUGUUUCCCUUAGAUUUUUUUAAAUAGAUAAUACAACACAAUUUAACUUCCUUAAAAGAAAAUCCACCAACAAGCUAACAACAACGCAAAUAUGAAGGGAUCUUCCUUACUGCUGGACACACUCAAUAUUGAGUAAAAUAUUCAGAAAAUACCCUACAUCUUCCACCUCUAGGCUUCCUGACAUUCUUUAAAGAUGUUAGAUCUAAACAAUAAGCAACCAAGUUAACUAUUUCACUGAACUGAACUUUUAUAAAUAUAGACUUCAUAAAAGUUGCCUUCAUAUUAAAGUCACCUGGUCUUUCUGCUGCUCUAGAAACCACUUCCUUUGUUAU